Molecule: long non-coding RNA, 2443 nt
Organism: Mustela lutreola (European mink)
Lineage: Eukaryota; Metazoa; Chordata; Mammalia; Carnivora; Mustelidae
Exons: 2
Source: RefSeq, a predicted model, not a curated record
UCUGGUCACAGGUUCAAGCCCCACAUCAGGCUCUGCACUGAGUGCCGAGUCUGUGUUCUCUCUCCCUCUGCCCCUCCCUCUGCUUGCACAUACUCUCUCACAUAAAUAAAAUCUAAAAAAAAAAAAAAAUAGGCUUUGGCAGAUUAAGACAGAUUCCUAAUCCUCUUGAAUUAUAUAGUCAAGCAUAUUUGUGUUUAUGUACCUUUUUCCAGGAAGAGUGUUCAUGGUUUUCACCAAAUUCUUAAAGGGUGCUGCAUACCUAGAAUACAAUAGAAUUCAGAAUACAAUGGGAACACUGACUACUUAGCCUAGUUAUUACAAGUUCUUAGAUUCCCAACAAAUACAUUUUUAAAGCCACAGUUAUGAAAAACAGUUUAUUUAGCUUUUGUCACAUUAAACUUCUUUCCACAACAGUUCCAUAAAUAUUAAGGGGACACAGUGGAGGAAAAGCAGUACCUGGAAGGAAUGGAAAGCAGACCUCAAAACCUCCUUUCACACAACAGCAAACAUUCAUUUGAAAAGACCCAGAUACACAAGCCUGCUUUGUGGCACAAAGCAUUCACCUGAAAAAACAAGGGAGAGCCACCAGCAGGCUCCAAGGUCCACGGGACCACCGAAUCGUCACAUUACAGAACCACGAGUCGUGGCAUUGAGACACCUAGCACAGAAGCACAAGCACAGCAAUGUAGACUGUGCUGUUAGCAGGAGCUGCUCUGGGCUGGCCUGAGCAGACCUCUGCCCUUCCCAUAAAGGAAGCCCUCCGAGCACCUCACAGCCACUGGCCUCAUAAGUGAAUAGGAUCCUUAGAACUCAAAAAACAAGGAUCCUUGACUCCAAAACAACAGAAGGAUUAGAAGAUCACAUAUCGCAGACAAUGCACUUCUUUGAGCUGCCACUCGAGCCAAAAGUCCAGCAACUUUGAAGCUAUAAAGAAUUAAGGGCAUGUGUUUCACACUACUCCACAGGGAAGCAUCAGUACCUAAAAGGUGUGCGCGUUUUACACAGGGAAAUGUCCAACGAGCGGACUCCACAUCAGUGCAUUUGGGAAGAGCAACAGCAGGUAUGAGGAGAUGACCGGAGUGCCCCCCGCUAGCUCAUGAGCCCAGGAUGGCAAGACGGAAACGAUCGAACUCACUUCUUUCCGCCUGUUCUAUAACAUUUCACGCAGACCCCUAUCUUGGCAGAAAAGAUAGGAUCUACGGGGUCAGUAGAAAGCAACUGGUCGAGUCUGUUAGGCAUGGAGAUUCAACUCCAGCAGCCGACUUAGGGAGGCAAGUCCUGUGGCAGGAACAGUGGCGGCCCGGCAGCAGAAGACUUAACUUCCUGUCGGAGUUUAUCAAAGCCCCCUCUGGGCUUUAAUCUACACAUGUAUCCAAGAUGAGAUUGAACUUCUGCAUCAGGUUUGUAAGCUGUCACUGUAUCUAGAGUGUUGUGCAAAUCGGGAGGACCCCACAGAAGCCCGAGCGGCAUGCAUGUCAGAUGCCAACUGAUGCGUGCGUUCUGUGGUCUAAGAAUCUCUUUUCAGUUUUGUGUUAAACUCAGCUGCAGGAUUACCUUAAGCACUAGAACUCGGUCUCUGCUCAGCUCUGUCACUCACUUCCCUGUGGGACCCUGGGCAAGUUCGCUUAUACUCCGGUUUCCACAACCAGAAAGUUAGGAUCACUGUAAUUAUUAUUAAAUGUGAAAGUAUGAGGCCUUGAGAACUGUGUCUGACACACAGUAAGUGGCACACAGAUAUUUUUAGGUGCUAAAUGGUAUAUUUUUAUCCUUUCCUUCACAUAGUCUUUAUAAUGUGUUCUAAAAGGUUUCUAGCAGCUUAAAGAAAUGUGUCAAAUCUUACUUAAUAAAAAAAAAAUGCCAUGUAUCAAAAUAGACCUAGACGCAGAAAGUCCACCUUGAAUUUGGAAAGGUGUCUGUAUGUGCAAGCUCCUUAGCAGAUUUAAAGAACGACCAAACUGGUUUCACAUGCUGGAACAUUCUAGAAUUGCUUCAUCCUAGCUUAUAUAUAUGAAUAUAUAUAUAUAUAUAUAUAUAUAUAUAUAUAUAUAUAUAUAUAUAUAUCUCUGCCAAGAAGUGGUAACUGAUUUCUUUUUACUGAAAUCUGGAGCGAUUGCCCUCCUAGCCAAGCUGGCAGGUGACAUAAUUCAGGGAGAGACCGUCUCCCUCCCAGAGCCUGUGUCGACUUUGUCUGGUUUUGUUCUUAAUACAGUUGAGGCCCUCCAGAUUUAUGUUCCCACCUCACGUUUUUAAGAAAAAUCUCUUCAAAAUUAUUUUAGGGUCAAGUCCUCUGUAGUUGGUCCCAGCGGACCGUGUGACAGGCCUGAGGCCACACGGAGGGGCUGGAGGGAGGGGAAGGAGGGGGCAGUUAAGACGAUGCCUGAAAACUCACUGCAGGCCCAGCUCGCCCACCCUGGUCCUCUUUUUAGGGAUUGCUAGCGCCCCC